Danio rerio (zebrafish) is the source of this 117-nucleotide ribosomal RNA. The record is from Ensembl. Lineage: Eukaryota; Metazoa; Chordata; Actinopteri; Cypriniformes; Danionidae.
AGCCACAGCCAUAUCACCCUACAGCACAAUACCAGUUACUCACUGAAGCGAAGCAGGGCUGAGCCUGGUCAGUACCUGAAUGGGAGAUCACAAGGGAAAACUAAGUUGCUGUUGAAA